UGAAAUAAAACUUCUUUAAACACGCUUGAUUUGGCGAGUAAGCUGGAGCAUAAACGACGUGACGAAAGCGUUACGAAAAGUGUGAUCGGGCGAGGACAAUGGAAGUUGAGAUGAAGUUAGUGACGACAGAAAGCGAGAGAAAGUUACGUUUCGUAUAUUACUGCAGGGCAACUAAAGAAGUUUUACUUCAUUCGUGUGGUCGAAAGCGCACUCGAUGUUUUGUAUUGAAUCAAUUCAACUCGAUCAGUAAAAUGCAGCCAGAACAGUUUGUAUUAUUAACAAUGGGAGGCUAUAAAGU
Molecule: unclassified non-coding RNA, 298 nt
Filed under: Melitaea cinxia (Glanville fritillary)
Lineage: Eukaryota; Metazoa; Arthropoda; Insecta; Lepidoptera; Nymphalidae
Description: misc RNA ENSMCXG00005020784.1
Source: RNAcentral